This 22-nucleotide microRNA is filed under the name Sphenodon punctatus (tuatara). RNAcentral's name for it is "Spt-Mir-135-P4_3p* (star (passenger))". RNAcentral also lists the same sequence under 1 other name. Lineage: Eukaryota; Metazoa; Chordata; Lepidosauria; Sphenodontia; Sphenodontidae. The record is from RNAcentral.
AUGUAGGGCUGAAAGCCAUGGG